ACAGCGGAGGGACGCGACGACUCCCGACCCGUGAUGCGGUCACCAGGGUCGAGGACGAGCGGAGUGGUGAGACCGGCCCACCCCUGG
Molecule: non-coding RNA, 87 nt
Filed under: unclassified sequences
Description: c-di-GMP sequence
Rfam family: c-di-GMP-II-GAG riboswitch aptamer
Source: Rfam by way of RNAcentral